UGGGGUAUAGCCAAGUGGUAAGGCAACGGACUUUGACUCCGUCAGUCGCUGGUUCAAAUCCAGCUAUCCCAACCA
Molecule: transfer RNA, 75 nt
Filed under: Ruminococcus sp.
Lineage: Bacteria; Bacillati; Bacillota; Clostridia; Eubacteriales; Oscillospiraceae
Description: tRNA-Gln
Rfam family: tRNA
About the family: Transfer RNA (tRNA) molecules are approximately 80 nucleotides in length. Their secondary structure includes four short double-helical elements and three loops (D, anti-codon, and T loops).
Source: RNAcentral